ACUGCCGGCUAAAAGUACGGAGGAAGGUGGGGAGUGACGUCAAAUCAUCAUGCCCUUAUGACCUGGGCUACACACGUGCUACAAUGGCGGUACAAAGGGUCGCGAACCCGCGAGGGGGAGCCAAUCCCAAAAAGCCGCUCUCAGUUCGGAUUGCAGGCUGCAACUCGCCUGCAUGAAGCCGGAAUCGCUAGUAAUCGCGGAUCAGCAUGCCGCGGUGAAUACGUUCCCGGGCCUU
RNAcentral lists this ribosomal RNA (235 nucleotides) under uncultured Anoxybacillus sp. RNAcentral's name for it is "partial 16S ribosomal RNA". It matches the Rfam family "Bacterial small subunit ribosomal RNA", at positions 1147 to 1382 of the family's 1533-position model. Lineage: Bacteria; Bacillati; Bacillota; Bacilli; Caryophanales; Anoxybacillaceae. The record is from RNAcentral.